Molecule: RNA transcript, 2508 nt
Organism: Artibeus jamaicensis (Jamaican fruit-eating bat)
Lineage: Eukaryota; Metazoa; Chordata; Mammalia; Chiroptera; Phyllostomidae
Gene: NECAB2
Gene name: N-terminal EF-hand calcium binding protein 2
Exons: 12
Source: RefSeq, a predicted model, not a curated record
CUCCCAGGGGCGCCUCCGCCCUCGCGCAGCCAGACCCCCACCAACCCAGCGCCUACUGGGCAGCCCCCUCCCAGGCUGAAUCCAGGUUCAACCCCCAGAUCAGCACCCCCGCGGGCAGCCCUCAGCGGCCGCGCGCGGUCGCCUAGGGAGGUGGGGCGGUGGAGACCAGGCACGUGGCUCGGGGUCCGGGCGGAGCGCACACCCCUCCCCGCCUGGUCCCCCGGCGCCGGCCCGUCCCCGCGGUGGCCGCGGCCGUGGGGGCAGAGGAAGGGAGGGCGGGGCGGCGCCCGCGGCAGCGCCGGGGAGGGGUCGCGCGGGGGCGGGCCGCGGGCUGGCGGGCGGGGGUCGGCGGGCUUCCGGGCGGCGGCGGGCGCGGCGCGAUGUGCGAGCGGGCGGCGCGCCUGUGCAGGGCCGGCGCGCACAGGCUGCUGCGGGAGCCGCCGCAGCAGGGCCGGGCGCUAGGCGGGCUGCUGCGCUGGGUGGGCGCCAGGAUGGGCGAGCCCCGGGUGCCGUUGGUCCCCGCCGCCCCUGACGCCCCCGCCAUAGACCCCGGCCCCUGCCCGGGCCCCGCCUCGCUGCGUGGGGGCACCGCUGUCAUCCUGGACAUUUUCCGCCGUGCGGACAAAAAUGAUGAUGGGAAGUUGUCCUUGGAAGAAUUCCAGCUCUUCUUUGCAGACGGCGUCCUUGACGAGACAGAGCUGGAGGACCUCUUCCACACCAUUGACUCGGAUGACACCAACCACGUGGACACCAAGGAGCUGUGUGAUUACUUUGUGGACCACAUGGGGGACUAUGAGGAUGUCUUGGCCUCCCUGGAGACCUUGAAUCAUUCUGUCUUGAAGGCCAUGGGCUACACUAAGAAGUUUCCUCCCCAUCCACAGGUAUACGAGGGCGGGAGCAACGUGGACCAGUUCGUGACCCGCUUCCUCCUGAAGGAGACGGCCAAUCAGAUCCAGUCGCUGCUGAGCUCCGUGGAGAGUGCAGUGGAGGCCAUUGAAGAGCAGACAAGCCAGAUCCGCCAGAACCACAGCAAGCCCGGCCCUGGCGCGGUGCAGACCUGGUAUGGAAGCCCCACUGCCCCCUAUGCCUCCAGCCACAAGCUCAUGGCCACGGAACAAGAGAAGAGCCUGCCUUCUGUUACCUCAGAGCCCAAGGAGGAGGGCCUGGAAGCCCAGAUCAGCCGUCUGGCAGAGCUAAUAGGACGGCUGGAGACCAAGACCCUCUGGUUUGACCUGCAGCAGCGCCUCUCGGAUGAAGAAGGCACCAACAUGCAUCUGCAGCUGGUCCGGCAGGAGAUGGCCGUGUGCCCCGAGCAGUUGAGCGAGUUCCUGGACUCCCUGCGCCAGUACCUGCGGGGCACCGCUGGAGCCAGGAACUGCUUCCACUUCUGCAGUUACCGCACUUAGAGGCACCAAAUCGCUCCAGUGACCUUUGUCGCAGAGAGAAGGGCCCCCAAGCAGCCCCUUCUGACUCUGGCAAAAGGCCAUGGCUCUGUCUGAUCAGUGGGCAGCUCUAGUACCCGGCCCCCAUCCUCUCAUCGAAUUACCAGCCCACAGCUCCGCCUGUAAUUUCAGCUACAGCGUAAUGAACUAAUGAUGCUAUUAGCAGCCUUGUUUCCCUGCUUCUAUCCCGGUGGCAAAACCCGGAGUUGCCUGUAAUCACACAGCAGCCCCCACCCAUGGCGGGGCCCUCCCCCCAAGGAAGUCUCGGGGGCUCUGUUCUGCUGAGCUGGUGAAAACAGAAGCAGCCGAGCAGCCGGGAGUGCAGGUGAGAGGCCAGAGGGGCAGUGUUACCGGCGACCUACUCUUGGAGGUCAGCCCUCAGUCCCCGCAGGCCUGCCACAUUCUUGGAAACACCCCCUUGCCUUGUCUCGAGGUCCAGGUAGCACCAGUCCUGUUUAAAUCGAGGUGCGUGGCCUGCCGCUGACAUGUCACACAGGUAACACAGGCGUGACCUGGGACCUUUAGGACCACCCACCCAGGGCAGGGCCCUCCCCCAGCCUCAGUGAGCCUAUUCUGACUCCCUGGAUUGUGUCAGGGAUUAAAUGAAGUGAUGGUUGUGAAGGAGAGCAUGAGAGGAGAAAAUGAAUAUUAGGCCUUUAAAAUGACAUUUUAUUAUAAUUCAUUCAAUAGACACAUAUUGGCCACGAUCUGGGGCCAGGCCUUGCUCCAGAUGGUGGGGUACAUGCUGAACCGAUUGGAUUCUGUGGCUGGUCUGGGAGGCUGUGGGUUGCUUCCAUCAGAAAGGCAGUAGCAUGAUGGGUCAUGGCCUUGGGCUGGUGACAAACUGGUUGCCUGUCCUGGAACAGCCCUGGGUGCUCCAGCCUCUGCCAGGCUCACGGUUCGAGGGGCAGGCCCCUGGGCGGCACGGGCUGGUCCACCAGUCCGACCUCUCCUCUCCCUGUGCAGCAUUGCCGCUGGGAGGCUGGCAGACGGCUUCACCUUUGUGGUCUACGAGUUCUGGGAGACCGAGGAGGAGUGGAAGAGGCACCUGCAGAGCCCCGUGUGC